UACGUAGGGCGCAAGCGUUGUCCGGAAUUAUUGGGCGUAAAGCGCGCGCAGGCGGUUAUUUAAGUUUGGUGUUUAAGCCCGGGGCUCAACCCCGGAUCGCACUGAAAACUGGAUGACUUGAGUGCGGGAGAGGAAAGUGAAAUUCCACGUGUAGCGGUGAAAUGCGUAGAGAUGUGGAGGAACACCAGUGGCGAAGGCGACUUUCUGGGCUGUAACUGACGCUGAGGCGCGAAAGCGUGGGGAGCAAACAGG
This 252-nucleotide ribosomal RNA is filed under the name uncultured bacterium. RNAcentral describes it as "partial 16S ribosomal RNA". It matches the Rfam family "Bacterial small subunit ribosomal RNA", at positions 524 to 776 of the family's 1533-position model. The record is from RNAcentral.